UGGGGAAUAUUGCACAAUGGGCGCAAGCCUGAUGCAGCCAUGCCGCGUGUAUGAAGAAGGCCUUCGGGUUGUAAAGUACUUUCAGUCGGGAGGAAGGUGGUAAGGUUAAUAACCUUAUCAAUUGAUGUUACCGACAGAAGAAGCACCGGCUAACUCCGUGCCAGCAGCCGCGGUAAUACGGAGGGUGCAAGCGUUAAUCGGAAUUACUGGGCGUAAAGCGCACGCAGGCGGUUGAUUGAGUCAGAUGUGAAAUCCCCGGGCUUAACCCGGGAAUUGCAUCUGAUACUGGUCAGCUAGAGUCUUGUAGAGGGGGGUAGAAUUCCAUGUGUAGCGGUGAAAUGCGUAGAGAUGUGGAGGAAUACCGGUGGCGAAGGCGGCCCCCUGGACAAAGACUGACGCUCAGGUGCGAAAGCGUGGGGAGCAAACAGG
This 429-nucleotide ribosomal RNA is filed under the name Chloroflexota bacterium. RNAcentral describes it as "Chloroflexi bacterium partial 16S ribosomal RNA". It matches the Rfam family "Bacterial small subunit ribosomal RNA", at positions 355 to 776 of the family's 1533-position model. Lineage: Bacteria; Bacillati; Chloroflexota. The record is from RNAcentral.